This 251-nucleotide ribosomal RNA is filed under the name uncultured bacterium. Its description in RNAcentral is "partial 16S ribosomal RNA". It matches the Rfam family "Bacterial small subunit ribosomal RNA", at positions 525 to 776 of the family's 1533-position model. The record is from RNAcentral.
ACGUAGGUGGCAAGCGUUGUCCGGAAUUAUUGGGCGUAAAGCGCGCGCAGGCGGAUUGGUCAGUCUGUCUUAAAAGUUCGGGGCUUAACCCCGUGAUGGGAUGGAAACUGCCAAUCUAGAGUAUCGGAGAGGAAAGUGGAAUUCCUAGUGUAGCGGUGAAAUGCGUAGAUAUUAGGAAGAACACCAGUGGCGAAGGCGACUUUCUGGACGAAAACUGACGCUGAGGCGCGAAAGCCAGGGGAGCGAACGGG